AAUCGUGGUGGGAGCAUUCCGUGUAGUAGUCUUUGAAUCGCUCUCAAGAUUCAUGGAACGAUUCUGUACCAGUCUACUGAAAAGAAGAGAUCUUAUUCCUUAGAAU
Molecule: small nucleolar RNA, 106 nt
Filed under: Arabidopsis lyrata subsp. lyrata
Lineage: Eukaryota; Viridiplantae; Streptophyta; Magnoliopsida; Brassicales; Brassicaceae
Description: Plant small nucleolar RNA R71
Rfam family: Plant small nucleolar RNA R71
About the family: R71 is a member of the C/D box family of snoRNAs containing the C (UGAUGA) and D (CUGA) box motifs. Multiple nearly identical copies of this snoRNA have been identified in Arabidopsis, and it is thought to function as a 2'-O-ribose methylation guide for 18S ribosomal RNA.
Source: Rfam by way of RNAcentral